CGUAGGUGCAAGCGUUGUCCGGAUUAUUGGCGUAAGAGCUCGUAGGCGGUUGUCGCGUCUGCUGUGAAACUCAGGGCUUAACCCUGAGCUUGCAGUGGUACGGCAGACUUGAGUGCGGUAGGGAGACUGGAAUUCCUGGUGUAGCGGUGAAAUGCGCAGAUAUCAGGAGGAACACCGGUGGCGAAGGCGGGUCUCUGGGCCGUAACUGACGCUGAGGAGCGAAAGCAUGGGAGCGAACAGGAUU
Molecule: ribosomal RNA, 244 nt
Filed under: uncultured bacterium
Lineage: Bacteria
Description: partial 16S ribosomal RNA
Rfam family: Bacterial small subunit ribosomal RNA
Source: RNAcentral